This 452-nucleotide ribosomal RNA is filed under the name uncultured bacterium. RNAcentral's name for it is "bacterial SSU rRNA". It matches the Rfam family "Bacterial small subunit ribosomal RNA", at positions 32 to 463 of the family's 1533-position model. The record is from RNAcentral.
AAUCAACGCUGGCGGCGUGCCUCAGACAUGCAAGUCGAACGCGAAAGUCCCCUUCGGGGGACAAGUAGAGUGGCGCACGGGUGAGUAACACGUAGGUAAUCUACCUUCGGAUGGGGAAUAACAAUCGGAAACGGUUGCUAAUACCGCAUAAUGCAGCGGCACCUAAUGGUGACAGUUGUUAAAGCGGGGGAUCGAAAGACCUCGCGUCUGAAGAGGAGCCUGCGGCGGAUUAGCUAGUUGGUAAGGUAACGGCUUACCAAGGCGACGAUCCGUAGCCGGCCUGAGAGGGCGGUCGGCCACACUGACACUGACAUACGGGUCAGACUCCUACGGGAGGCAGCAGUCGGGAAUUUUGGGCAAUGGGCGAAAGCCUGACCCAGCAACGCCGCGUGAAGGAUGAAAUCCCUCGGGAUGUAAACUUCGCAAGAACGGGAAGAAUAAGUAGGGGACAA